GAGUUUGAUCCUGGCUCAGGACGAACGCUGGCGGCACGCCUAACACAUGCAAGUCGAACGGUGAAGGGGGAGCUUGCUCCUCCGGAACAGUGGCGGACGGGUGAGUAACACGUGAGCAACCUGCCUUUCAGAGGGGGACAACAGUUGGAAACGACUGCUAAUACCGCAUAACGUAUUUUGGCGGCAUCGCCGGAAUACCAAAGGAGCAAUCCGCUGAAAGAUGGGCUCGCGUCUGAUUAGAUAGUUGGUGAGGUAACGGCUCACCAAGUCGACGAUCAGUAGCCGGACUGAGAGGUUGAACGGCCACAUUGGGACUGAGACACGGCCCAGACUCCUACGGGAGGCAGCAGUGGGGGAUAUUGGACAAUGGGGGAAACCCUGAUCCAGCGAUGCCGCGUGAGGGAAGAAGGUUUUCGGAUUGUAAACCUCUGUGGAGGGGGACGAUAAUGACGGUACCCCUUUAGGAAGCCACGGCUAACUACGUGCCAGCAGCCGCGGUAAUACGUAGGUGGCGAGCGUUGUCCGGAAUUACUGGGUGUAAAGGGAGUGUAGGCGGGAAAGCAAGUCAGAAGUGAAAACUAUGGGCUUAACCCAUA
Molecule: ribosomal RNA, 596 nt
Filed under: uncultured bacterium
Lineage: Bacteria
Description: bacterial SSU rRNA
Rfam family: Bacterial small subunit ribosomal RNA
Source: RNAcentral